RNAcentral lists this ribosomal RNA (490 nucleotides) under uncultured bacterium. RNAcentral's name for it is "partial 16S ribosomal RNA". It matches the Rfam family "Bacterial small subunit ribosomal RNA", at positions 28 to 507 of the family's 1533-position model. The record is from RNAcentral.
GAUGAACGCUCGCUCCAGGCUUAACACAUGCAAGUCGAGGGGCAGCAUGGUCUUAGCUUGCUAAGGCCGAUGGCGACCGGCGCACGGGUGAGUAACACGUAUCCAACCUGCCGUCUACCCUUGGACAGCCUUCUGAAAGGAAGAUUAAUACAAGAUGGCAUCAUGAGUCCGCAUGUUCACAUGAUUAAAGGUAUUCCGGUAGACGAUGGGGAUGCGUUCCAUUAGAUAGUAGGCGGGGUAACGGCCCACCUAGUCUUCGAUGGAUAGGGGUUCUGAGAGGAAGGUCCCCCACAUUGGAACUGAGACACGGUCCAAACUCCUACGGGAGGCAGCAGUGAGGAAUAUUGGGCAAUGGGCGCAGGCCUGAACCAGCCAAGUAGCGUGAAGGAUGACUGCCCUAUGGGUUGUAAACUUCUUUUAUAAAGGAAUAAAGUCGGGUAUGGAUACCCGUUUGCAUGUACUUUAUGAAUAAGGAGCGGCUAACUCCGUG